Molecule: ribosomal RNA, 626 nt
Filed under: Steinernema sp. eCTW46.1_TH
Lineage: Eukaryota; Metazoa; Nematoda; Chromadorea; Rhabditida; Steinernematidae
Also listed under: 2 other names
Description: partial large subunit ribosomal RNA
Rfam family: Eukaryotic large subunit ribosomal RNA
Source: RNAcentral
GACUAGGGAUCCAAAGAGGGUGCUAGACCCUUACGCAUUGUUGACUUUUCGUACGCGUUCGUUUCUUGGAGUAGGGUUGUUUUGGAUCGCAGCCCAAAGUAGGUGGUAUACUUCAUCUAAAGCUAAAUACGACUACGAAUCCGAUAGCAAACAAGUACCGUGAGGGAAAGUUGCAAAGUACUUUGAAGAGAGAGUUCAAGAGGACGUGAAACCGGUAGGGUGGAAGCAGAUAAAGUUGACGAACGUGUGUCGUAUUCAGAACUACAAUUUGUGGUUUGUUUUUACGAUCGAUGUGGGCUGGCGUCUUUGGUUAACUUAGUGUCUGGCGGCAAUGGUGACCCUGCGGAGGGAUAAUCGGUUGUCGUGCGAUGCUUGGUAUGGCUAGAGGUUCGCUGGUCUUAUAGUCAUCGCUUUAUCUGACCCGUCUUGAAACACGGACCAAGGAGUGUAGCGCUUACGCGAGUCUUAGAGUGUGUCAAAACUUUGAGGCGUAACGAAAGUAAAUGUGGAUUUAUUCACUGACUUGGGAUGCGUUGUCUUUUUUGGAUAGCGUUGGACCAUGGUUUUAUCGUAAUCGCUUGCGAUGCGGUGAAAAUAGAGCGUAAGCGGUGCGACCCGAAAGAUGG